UUCCAGACUCCUACGGGAGGCAGCAGUGGGGAAUAUUGGGCAAUGGGCGCAAGCCUGACCCAGCAACGCCGCGUGAAGGAAGAAGGCUUUCGGGUUGUAAACUUCUUUUAAGAGGGAAGAGCAGAAGACGGUACCUCUUGAAUAAGCCACGGCUAACUACGUGCCAGCAGCCGCGGUAAUACGUAGGUGGCAAGCGUUGUCCGGAUUUACUGGGUGUAAAGGGCGUGUAGCCGGGCUGACAAGUCAGAUGUGAAAUUCCGGGGCUCAACCCCGGACCUGCAUUUGAAACUGUUGGUCUUGAGUAUCGGAGAGGCAGGCGGAAUUCCUAGGGUAGCGGUGAAAUGCGUAGAUAUACGGAGGAACACCAGUGGCGAAGGCGGCCUGCUGGACAUUAACUGACGCUGAGGCGCGAAAGCGUGGGGAGCAAACAGGAUUAGAUACCCCCGUAU
Molecule: ribosomal RNA, 449 nt
Filed under: uncultured bacterium
Lineage: Bacteria
Description: bacterial SSU rRNA
Rfam family: Bacterial small subunit ribosomal RNA
Source: RNAcentral